Molecule: non-coding RNA, 119 nt
Organism: Pteropus alecto (black flying fox)
Lineage: Eukaryota; Metazoa; Chordata; Mammalia; Chiroptera; Pteropodidae
Source: Rfam
CUCUACAGCCAUGCCACUCUGAACAAGCUCGAUCCUGUCUGACCUUGGAAGCUAAGCAGGGUCGGGCCUGGUUAGUACUUGGAUGAGAGACCAUCUAGGAAGACCAGGUGCUGAAGACG